CAGUCGCCGCGGUAAAACGUAGGGUGCAAGCGUUAAUCGGAAUUACUGGGCGUAAAGCGUGCGCAGGCGGUUAUAUAAGACAGAUGUGAAAUCCCCGGGCUCAACCUGGGAACUGCAUUUGUGACUGUAUAGCUAGAGUACGGCAGAGGGGGAUGGAAUUCCGCGUGUAGCAGUGAAAUGCGUAGAUAUGCGGAGGAACACCGAUGGCGAAGGCAAUCCCCUGGGCCUGUACUGACGCUCAUGCACGAAAGCGUGGGGAGCAAACAGGAUUAGAUACCCGGGUAGUCCCUGUCUCUUAUAA
Molecule: ribosomal RNA, 301 nt
Filed under: uncultured bacterium
Lineage: Bacteria
Description: partial 16S ribosomal RNA
Rfam family: Bacterial small subunit ribosomal RNA
Source: RNAcentral